UCCGGCCUUCCUUCUCGCUCCUCGAGGGCCGGCGCGGCGUUCGUUCCCGGUUCGAGGGUCUCGAGCUCCCGAUUACGCGCAUUACGGUUCCAUCCCCGCCUCGAUUGGCCGGCGACGGACGUCCGUCGAUCGGAUUUAGCCCCCGCGGUUUCUGAUGUCUGGCGGUUUCUGGCGAUUCGUCUUUGCAGGUAGCACGACGCCGGGACUUACGACGCGAGGACGAAGACCGCCGGUCCGAACGGCUCGAUUCGGAACAAGGAAGAGUACUCCCACGGUGCCAAUGCUGGCUUGAAGAUCGCUCUUGAUUUCUGUGCUAGCAGGAGUUGUUGCAGUAGAAGUCACUGGAGGUCACACAGUCGACUUUGUUCCCGGAAGAAAGGAUUCAAAAGUUUCUCCAAACGAAGGAAGACUUCCAGAUGCUAAUCAAGGUAUUCUGUUGUGUUAACUUUCCCUUUGUUGUCUGGCCUCCCUUCAUUUCCCUCCAUCCCUCCCUCCAAAUAUUAUGGGCCACUGUGCUUCUUAUUGCUCCAGGCAAAACGUUAAAUAGCUAUUUAUUGUUUUCCUUAAGGUUGCUGCCUGUUAAUCUUGAAAUGUAUGUCCAUCUCAUCUGAAUGUCAAUUAGUAAGU
Syzygium oleosum is the source of this 627-nucleotide long non-coding RNA. RefSeq lists it as uncharacterized. The record is from RefSeq and is a predicted model, not a curated record. The transcript has 3 exons. NCBI's taxonomy places the organism in Eukaryota, Viridiplantae, Streptophyta, Magnoliopsida, Myrtales, Myrtaceae.